AGAAAAAGACCAAAAAAUUGCAUAGCUCCAUUGGGUGCUUCUAACUGCAAGAGCAAGCUGCUUUCUGAGAUUAUCUGGAACACCCUUUUGAUUUGCAGUAGCCAUUGUUGAGCUCAGACCCUUUUCCGCCUACAAUAUGCAGUGAAUACAGUAUUCCAAAAUCUAUACACGAUGAGAAGAAAGAUUCAAACUUGAAAAGCUGCCCAUCUUUAAUUUGAGACUAUAACAUGAUUGAAGACUGCAAGACUAACCAAAUUUAUGGCAGAAAAAGGAGGCUAAAUUAUUGGACCACUAGAGCUCUGAAUCCUGGGAUUGGUUCGAUAUAAGCUUGCUGGAAAUGGCACCUCAAGAUUCUUACAUAAAAUUACUUCCUUUGAUGGAGUGUUCAAC
Molecule: long non-coding RNA, 390 nt
Filed under: Salvia miltiorrhiza (redroot sage)
Lineage: Eukaryota; Viridiplantae; Streptophyta; Magnoliopsida; Lamiales; Lamiaceae
Description: long non-coding RNA (SMIL_LNC006336)
Source: RNAcentral